GACGAACGCUGGCGGCGUGCCUAAUACAUGCAAGUAGAACGCUGAAGGAGGAGCUUGCUUCUCUGGAUGAGUUGCGAACGGGUGAGUAACGCGUAGGUAACCUGCCUGGUAGCGGGGGAUAACUAUUGGAAACGAUAGCUAAUACCGCAUAAGAGUAGAUGUUGCAUGACAUUUGCUUAAAAGGUGCAAUUGCAUCACUACCAGAUGGACCUGCGUUGUAUUAGCUAGUUGGUGGGGUAACGGCUCACCAAGGCGACGAUACAUAGCCGACCUGAGAGGGUGAUCGGCCACACUGGGACUGAGACACGGCCCAGACUCCUACGGGAGGCAGCAGUAGGGAAUCUUCGGCAAUGGACGGAAGUCUGACCGAGCAACGCCGCGUGAGUGAAGAAGGUUUUCGGAUCGUAAAGCUCUGUUGUAAGAGAAGAACGAGUGUGAGAGUGGAAAGUUCACACUGUGACGGUAUCUUACCAGUAAGGGACGGCUAACUACGUG
RNAcentral lists this ribosomal RNA (495 nucleotides) under uncultured bacterium. RNAcentral's name for it is "partial 16S ribosomal RNA". It matches the Rfam family "Bacterial small subunit ribosomal RNA", at positions 28 to 507 of the family's 1533-position model. The record is from RNAcentral.